Ipomoea nil (Japanese morning glory) is the source of this 432-nucleotide long non-coding RNA. RefSeq lists it as uncharacterized. The record is from RefSeq and is a predicted model, not a curated record. NCBI's taxonomy places the organism in Eukaryota, Viridiplantae, Streptophyta, Magnoliopsida, Solanales, Convolvulaceae. The transcript has 2 exons.
CUGAAUACCAGGAGACUAUGACAACUUCCCAGACUUACGACGCUCACAACUUUCUUCCAUUAACUCUCCUCGAGCCUAAUCAACAUUACUCUCGCCACGACCAAACAGCUCUUCAACUCGUGUAACUGACCUGGGAAAGACCUUAAGUGCAAUCAGGUCGAUCUGUACGUCUGCUAUCUAUUCUGUCAUGGGAAUGCAUCACCUUGUUUAUUUUUCUGCUUUUUUAUAGUUUUGUAAAAUCGUUCAUUAAGAUCAGAAGAACAAGUUAUUUCCAGUUCAGCAAUGGGCUCUAAUUAGCUGCUUGCCCGUUUGUGCUUAAGAAUUUGAAUCGGGUUUAGAGAGAGAAUAUUCUUGUUUGAUCCAUCCUUCCAGUGGUUCAGACAUCUAAAGCUCUCUGCUAAUAUAUACAAUGGUGUUGUUUCCUUUGCUACC